This is a long non-coding RNA of Amphiprion ocellaris (clown anemonefish), 892 nucleotides long. Lineage: Eukaryota; Metazoa; Chordata; Actinopteri; Pomacentridae. The record is from Ensembl.
CAGAACUCCAGGUCAAUUAUCAUGAUGACAGACAGGUGGGGUCUGGAGCUGCUCUUCAGCCAGGCAUCAUCAACAUCUACACAAACCUUCUCCCCACACUAAAAGAUAGCACAUCACCACCGCAAGUCAAAUGCUUGAACAGAAGAAAGAAGUGUGUGGUGUACUGAAGAAAGCAGAAUCUUAACCGAAGAUGAAAUGAAACCAGACAGAAUAUGGAAAAAAAACUGAAGUGAAAUACAGACAAGUGACAAAUUAAAAGCAAGACCCAAAUAAAUACCAGUCUUCCCAAAGAUAUUCCUUCCCUCCCUUGGUGUUUUGAUGAUGUUUGAGGUUUUAAAUCAGGUAUUCAAAUGGCUCAGUGGACUGUGGAGGCCAUUGCAUAUGAUUCACAUCGUUUUCAUCAGACCAUUCAGUGACCUCUCGUGCUCAGUGGAUGGGGUCAUUGUCAUCCUGAAAGAGAUCCCUCAGGUUACGCCCGGUGGGAGUGGCUAGAUGCACCUGUGGCUCCUUACAAUCAGCAAGGAUGGUUAAAUGAUGAGCCAACUUGAGCAUUGUGGCCAGUGGGCCGAAUCAGCUGCCAGAGUGUGGUGUUGUUGUCUUGCGUUCUGCUUAAGGACUAGUCUCUGCUGGCUAAAGAGCUGGGUAGAGUGACCAGCUUUGCACUUAUGAGGUGUGCUUUUGUGUCGGAAUCGUCUUUUUAGAUAAAUAAAUGUUCUUUUGUUGAUGUUACCCAAUCAGUUUUCGUGCCUCUGUAUCUGUUUCUUCUUUAUAUUCGUUACUCCCCUCAUCCCCUAGUUCUCGGGGACAUAACAUGGACAGUGGACAUGAAAAGACUUCUGUGGGUCUCAGACAAUGAAUCCUCAAGACUUUAGUAAUGCUUUAAUUUUUCCUC